This 425-nucleotide ribosomal RNA is filed under the name uncultured bacterium. Its description in RNAcentral is "bacterial SSU rRNA". It matches the Rfam family "Bacterial small subunit ribosomal RNA", at positions 356 to 773 of the family's 1533-position model. The record is from RNAcentral.
GGGGAAUAUUGGACAAUGGGCGCAAGCCUGAUCCAGCAAUGCCGCGUGUGUGAAGAAGGCCUGCGGGUUGUAAAGCACUUUCAGUGGGGAAGAACGGGCCAAGGUUAAUACCCCUGGCUUCUGACGUUAUCCACAGAAGAAGCACCGGCUAACUCCGUGCCAGCAGUCGCGGUAAUACGGAGGGUGCAAGCGUUAAUCGGAAUCACUGGGCGUAAAGCGCACGUAGGCGGCACGUUAAGUCAGCUGUGAAAGCCCUGGGCUCAAUCUGGGAAUGGCAGUUGAUACUGACGCGUUCGAGUCUGAGAGAGGGGGGUGGAAUUCCAGGUGUAGCGGUGAAAUGCGUAGAUAUCUGGAGGAACACCGGUGGCGAAGGCGGCCCUCUGGCUCAUGACUGACGCUGAGGUGCGAAAGCGUGGGGAGCAAAC